Molecule: transfer RNA, 69 nt
Filed under: Glyphoglossus yunnanensis (Yunnan squat frog)
Lineage: Eukaryota; Metazoa; Chordata; Amphibia; Anura; Microhylidae
Description: tRNA-Asp
Rfam family: tRNA
About the family: Transfer RNA (tRNA) molecules are approximately 80 nucleotides in length.
Source: RNAcentral
GAGACUCUAGUUAAACAAUAACAAUUCCUUGUCAAGGCAUAAUUAUAGGUUAAAUCCCUGUGAAUCUCC